Molecule: non-coding RNA, 1592 nt
Organism: Myodes glareolus (Bank vole)
Lineage: Eukaryota; Metazoa; Chordata; Mammalia; Rodentia; Cricetidae
Source: the annotation of a RefSeq genome assembly
GGUUUUUCUCUCUUAUUCAUCUUGCAGUAGAAGCAUCUGAACUCGGUAAACUCCAGUCAUUUUGUUACUGUUGAAGAGUGAAUCUUCAGUGAAAACAAUGAUGCAUCCCUUAAGUGUUUCACUAGUGGUACUCUGGCUUCAGCUGAGGGGGAUGAACAGCCAGCAGAAGGUGCAACAGAGCCCUGAAUACCUCAGUGUUUCAGAGGGAGCCAUGACCUCUAUCAACUGUAGUUUCAGUGACAGUAAUUCUCCGAACUUCUGGUGGUACAAACAGCAUCCUGGGAAAGGCCUCAAGGCUCUGAUAUCCAUCUUCUCCAAUGGCAAAAAGGAGGAAGGCAGAUUCACUGUUCACCUCAAUAAAUCCAGCCUGCAAGUUUCCCUGCACUUCAGAGACUCCCAGCCCAGUGACUCAGCUGUCUACCUCUGUGCAGUGCGCACACAGUGCUUCCCUGGCACCUGCAGACUGCACCCAAACCUACUGAGCCCUGUCAAAGCCUUAGAACACAGAACACUGGGUGGAAAAAAAUCUCUUUCUAUUCUAUACACAAUGGGAAUUAAGAGAAAAGUAGAGAAGGCUUGAUUGAUUGGGAAAGUGUGGGAGAAUUUCCACUGGUCUACACCUGGUCUGGCUACAGAGUGGAGUGCUAGCAUCUAACUACAAUCCAUGUUUUGUUUCUAGGUUACCUUUUGUUUCUCUUCUUGCCCUCUAUGUGAAUCUUUUCUGAGCCCUUCCCAAGGAUGCAAAACAAGUUUUGAAAAAAUCCCACAAACUGUGAUAUUCCUAAAUCAUGUAUUUGCAUUUCUCAUUGACCUUUAGAGGCCCAGUCAGACGUUUUGAGAAUAUGGAAAUCAACUUGCUUAGGGGUAAAUAUGGAGAAUAAGAAAAAUGACCUUGGCUAAGGGAAGGAGUCUCAGUCCCUAGAGAGGUUGACUCCCCCUACAGGUGAAAGGCUAGAGACAUCCUAAAGGUGAGCUUUGUCUUCAUCCCACAGACCUGCAUGAACCCACACCCAUAUUCCAAAAGGAAAGUAUUUAAGCAUUUUGAAUAUAACCAGCCAUAAAAGGAAAAACACACUAUUGAUUUAACUGAAAUAUUUUCCAAUCUUCUCUUAUGUUGCUGAUUCUACAACCAUGUACACACUCUUUUUGUGCCUAAAUUUGUGAUCUGGAAGACAUGCACAUGGCUGUGACACUCACCUCAUGUUUUGUCAUAAAGACCACCAAAACCUCUAUAACAAUAUGACGUAUUUGACUUUUAAAAUCUUUCCAUUAAAUUUUUUUGUUUUCUAAUUUUGAAAAACUUGUUUAUGAAGUCCCUCAUUUCUCUAUGGCAAUUUUUAACAUAUCUGCUUAUAGUUGACCCUCCCCCAAACUCAUCCCCUCCACCAUUCCCCUAUUCCCUAUUCUCAGUGAAACAUUCUAGUUCCCAGUACCCCCAUACCCUUCUACUUCUAUAUCAUGUGUUCUAAGAUUGCCUUUUCACUCAUCAUUCUUAGUGCAUUUCUUCCCUCUUGUGGGCAGAUGUCUAGCUUCUUGGCAUCUACACAUACUCAUUGUCACAUGAAUACCUACAAAUAAAGUGUACAAGCUAA